This 480-nucleotide ribosomal RNA is filed under the name Streptococcus mutans. RNAcentral's name for it is "bacterial SSU rRNA". It matches the Rfam family "Bacterial small subunit ribosomal RNA", at positions 28 to 485 of the family's 1533-position model. The record is from RNAcentral. Lineage: Bacteria; Bacillati; Bacillota; Bacilli; Lactobacillales; Streptococcaceae.
GACGAACGCGGCGGCGUGCCUAAUACAUGCAAGUGGGACGCAAGGGAACACACUGUGCUUGCACACCGUGUUUUCUUGAGUCGCGAACGGGUGAGUAACGCGUAGGUAACCUGCCUAUUAGCGGGGGAUAACUAUUGGAAACGAUAGCUAAUACCGCAUAAUAUUAAUUAUUGCAUGAUAAUUGAUUGAAAGAUGCAAGCGCAUCACUAGUAGAUGGACCUGCGUUGUAUUAGCUAGUUGGUAAGGUAAGAGCUUACCAAGGCGACGAUACAUAGCCGACCUGAGAGGGUGAUCGGCCACACUGGGACUGAGACACGGCCCAGACUCCUACGGGAGGCAGCAGUAGGGAAUCUUCGGCAAUGGACGAAAGUCUGACCGAGCAACGCCGCGUGAGUGAAGAAGGUUUUCGGAUCGUAAAGCUCUGUUGUAAGUCAAGAACGUGUGUGAGAGUGGAAAGUUCACACAGUGACGGAGCUACCA